AGUAAACGGCGGCCGUAACUAUAACGGUCCUAAGGUAGCGAAAUUCCUUGUCGGGCAAGUUCCGACCUGCACGAAUGGCAUAAUGAUGGCCACACUGUCUCCUCCUGAGACUCAGUGAAGUUGAAAUGUUUGUGAUGAUGCAAUCUCCCCGCGGCUAGACGGAAAGACCCCAUGAACCUUUACUGCAGCUUUGCAUUGGACUUUGAACCGAUCUGUGUAGGAUAGGUGGGAGGCAGUGAAGCUAGGACGCCAGUCUUAGCGGAGCCAACCUUGAAAUACCACCCUGAUUUGUUUGAGGUUCUAACCUAGGAGCGUGAUCCGCUUCGGGGACCGUGCAUGGUAGGCAGUUUGACUGGGGCGGUCUCCUCCUAAAGGGUAACGGAGGAGUGCGAAGGUACGCUAGGUACGGUCGGAAAUCGUGCUGAUAGUGCAAUGGCAAAAGCGUGCUUGACUGCGAGACCGACAAGUCGAGCAGAUACGAAAGUAGGUCAUAGUGAUCCGGUGGCUCUGCAUGGAAGGGCCAUCGCUCAACGGAUAAAAGGUACUCUGGGGAUAACAGGCUGAUACCGCCCAAGAGUUCAUAUCGACGGCGGUGUUUGGCACCUCGAUGUCGGCUCAUCUCAUCCUGGGGCUGUAGCCGGUCCCAAGGGUAUGGCUGUUCGCCAUUUAAAGAGGUACGUGAGCUGGGUUUAAAACGUCGUGAGACAGUUUUGUCCCUAUCUGCCGUGGGCGUUGGAAGAUUGACGGGGGCUGCUCCUAGUACGAGAGGACCGGAGUGGACUCACCUCUGGUGUACCGGUUGUCACGCCAGUGGCAUCGCCGGGUAGCUAUGUGGGGAAAGGAUAACCGCUGAAAGCAUCUAAGCGGGAAACCUGCCUGAAGAUAAGUCUUCCUGGAGGCUAGACCUCCCUAAAGAGUCGUUCGAGACCAGGACGUUGAUAGGUUGGAUGUGCAAGCGCUGUGAGGCGUUGAGCUGACCAAUACUAAUUGCUCGUGAAGCUUGAUCCU
RNAcentral lists this ribosomal RNA (1008 nucleotides) under human gut metagenome. RNAcentral's name for it is "bacterial LSU rRNA". It matches the Rfam family "Bacterial large subunit ribosomal RNA", at positions 1922 to 2925 of the family's 2925-position model. The record is from RNAcentral.